CCUACGGGAGGCAGCAGUAGGGGAUAUUGCUCAAUGGGGGAAACCCUGAAGCAGCAACGCCGCGUGGAUGAUGGAGGUUUUCGGCUUGUAAACUCCUUUUGUUAGGGAAGAUACUGACGGUAUCUAACGAAUAAACACCGGCUAACUCCGUGCCAGCAGCCCCGGUAAUACGGAGGGUGCAAGCGUUACUCGGAAUCACUGGGCGUAAAGAGCGCGUAGGCGGGAUAGCAAGUCAGAUGUGAAAUCCUAGGGCUUAACCAUAGAACUGCAUUUGAAACUGUUAUUCUAGAGUAUGGGAGAGGUAGGUGGAAUUCCUGGUGUAGGGGUAAAAUCCGUAGAGAUCAAGAGGAAGACUCACGGCGAAGGCGACCUGCUAGAACAUAACUGACGCUGAUGCGCGAAAGCGUGGGGAGCAAACAGGAUUAGAUACCCUUGUAGUC
Molecule: ribosomal RNA, 440 nt
Filed under: uncultured bacterium
Lineage: Bacteria
Description: partial 16S ribosomal RNA
Rfam family: Bacterial small subunit ribosomal RNA
Source: RNAcentral